RNAcentral lists this ribosomal RNA (254 nucleotides) under uncultured bacterium. RNAcentral describes it as "partial 16S ribosomal RNA". It matches the Rfam family "Bacterial small subunit ribosomal RNA", at positions 524 to 776 of the family's 1533-position model. The record is from RNAcentral.
GACAUAGGUGGCGAACGUUAUCCGGAUUUAUUGGGCGUAAAGGAUUCGUAGAUGGUGGAAUACGUUAUUGGUCAAAGUCAAGCUCAACUUGGCGGAAGCUGGUAAUACUAUUCUACUUGAGGAUAGGAGAGGUUGGCGGAAUUCUGUGUGGAGCGGUGAAAUGCGUUGAUCUACAGAGGAACACCAAAAAAGGCGAAGGCAGCCAACUAUUCUAACCCUGACAUUGAGGCAUGAAAGCGUGGGGAGCAAACCGG